AUCCAACUGACGAGUCAAAAAUAGGACGAAAUGCUAUUCAUGGAU
Molecule: non-coding RNA, 45 nt
Filed under: Trichobilharzia regenti
Lineage: Eukaryota; Metazoa; Platyhelminthes; Trematoda; Strigeidida; Schistosomatidae
Source: RNAcentral